This 974-nucleotide long non-coding RNA is filed under the name Gossypium barbadense (sea-island cotton). RNAcentral's name for it is "long non-coding RNA (GBAR_LNC015610)". Lineage: Eukaryota; Viridiplantae; Streptophyta; Magnoliopsida; Malvales; Malvaceae. The record is from RNAcentral.
AACAGCAUCUCCCAUAGGAGCAGCGUUAGAAGGGGGACCGACGCUUUCAAAGGCAUCACCAUCCAUUUCUUUGUUUGACGAGCUACCUUCAGUGGGAUCGUCAUCUAUUGCUGCAGCAGAUGCUCCCUCCGAUGAAGUAGUCAAAGGAACUUAAAGUCGUCUCUGAAAUUCCCGCCAAUCCUCCUCGGGAUUUGGAUCGUACAGAUCAAAAUUAAUCAUCUCAAAAUUCUCUCUAAAGAGAGGAGGUUCCAUAUUCACCCGGCAGAAGUUGAAAGGACCAUAGACGACUUGUAAAGCCAAUACUAACUGGUCUUGAAAGGAGUCCAGUAGCUUCCCUUGAGCAAAAGAAAAAGAAGCCUUAUCACUAGCUCGAGAUUCUUUCUCCUUCAACAGGUCAACUUGCAAGGCCUCCAGUCGUUUGUCUUUCUCCUCCAGUUGUUAAGCCUUUGUCUCCACCUCCUUCUCCUUCUCUUCCAAGUGAUCCUUCAAAGCCUACACAUCUGUAAUCAGAUUCUUGACGUGCCUCUUUAAGUUGGAGGACCUUUUGUUGGCCUCAGUAACAACCUUCUUCUCUUUCUUGGAAGCCUUGGCAGCACCUUUCACUUUAUCUCAAGCUGUCUGAAGGACUAAUGUCUCUUGAGCGACCCGAUUGCAAGCUAACUUCAAAACUAGUAUGGGCUCUAUAGAGCAUAUAUAAAACAUUCAUCAUUAGCCAAGCAAACUAAAUUUAAUUAAGCUUACAGAUUUGCGAAAACUACCUAAAGUAGCAGCAAUAGCUAAUGGAAAAACAACAAUAGGGAAAGAUAGGUAGCCUACUUCCGCAAAAGUAUUACCAGCCACAGUAGGGAUGGAGUGAAGGAGGGACUCCCCUGAAGUGAUAGGGGUGGAAAUUUGGCCAACAACUACAGUUGUCGUGUAACAUCCUAUAUCCGACUCGGUAAUCGGGUCCGAACUACAGGAUGUCACAUCCGUUG